This 279-nucleotide ribosomal RNA is filed under the name uncultured bacterium. Its description in RNAcentral is "partial 16S ribosomal RNA". It matches the Rfam family "Bacterial small subunit ribosomal RNA", at positions 506 to 784 of the family's 1533-position model. The record is from RNAcentral.
UGCCAGCAGCCGCGGUAAUACGGAGGGGGCAAGCGUUAACCGGAAUUAUUGGGCGUAAAGGGCGCGUAGGCGGACUGAAAAGUCAGAUGUGAAAGCCUACUGCUUAACAGUAGAAUAGCAUUUGAAACUCUUAGUCUUGAGGAUAGGCGGCGGAAGUGGAAUUCUGAGUGUAGCGGUGAAAUGCGUAGAUAUUCAGAGGAACACCUGUGGCGAAAGCGACUUCCGAGCUUAUAACUGACGCUGAGGCGCGAAAGCGUGGGUAGCAAACAGGAUUAGAUA